This 444-nucleotide ribosomal RNA is filed under the name uncultured bacterium. RNAcentral describes it as "bacterial SSU rRNA". It matches the Rfam family "Bacterial small subunit ribosomal RNA", at positions 331 to 792 of the family's 1533-position model. The record is from RNAcentral.
CCAGACUCCUACGGGAGGCAGCAGUGGGGAAUAUUGCACAAUGGGGGAAACCCUGAUGCAGCGACGCCGCGUGAGUGAAGAAGUAUUUCGGUAUGUAAAGCUCUAUCAGCAGGGAAGAAAAUGACGGUACCUGAUUAAGAAGCCCCGGCUAACUACGUGCCAGCAGCCGCGGUAAUACGUAGGGGGCAAGCGUUAUCCGGAUUUACUGGGUGUAAAGGGAGCGUAGACGGUGAUGCAAGUCAGAAGUGAAAGCCCGGGGCUCAACUCCGGGACUGCUUUUGAAACUGUGUGACUGGAGUGCAGGAGAGGUAAGCGGAAUUCCUGGUGUAGCGGUGAAAUGCGUAGAUAUCAGGAGGAACACCAGUGGCGAAGGCGGCCUGCUGGACGGUGACUGACGCUGAGGCUCGAAAGCGUGGGGAGCAAACAGGAUUAGAUACCCUUGUA